RNAcentral lists this ribosomal RNA (800 nucleotides) under uncultured bacterium. Its description in RNAcentral is "bacterial SSU rRNA". It matches the Rfam family "Bacterial small subunit ribosomal RNA", at positions 9 to 803 of the family's 1533-position model. The record is from RNAcentral.
GAGUUUGAUCCUGGCUCAGGAUGAACGCUAGCGGCAGGCUUAACACAUGCAAGUCGAGGGGCAGCACGAUGUAGCAAUACAUGGGUGGCGACCGGCGCACGGGUGCGUAACACGUAUGGAAUCUGCCCUUUACUGGGGGAUAGCCCGGAGAAAUCCGGAUUAAUACCCCAUAACAGGCGAGGUGGCAUCACCUUGCUUUGAAAGCUCCGGCGGUAAAGGAUGACCAUGCGCACGAUUAGCUAGUUGGUGAGGUAACGGCUCACCAAGGCUACGAUCGUUAGGGGGCCUGAGAGGGUUAUCCCCCACACUGGUACUGAGACACGGACCAGACUCCUACGGGAGGCAGCAGUGAGGAAUAUUGCGCAAUGGAGGCAACUCUGACGCAGCCAUGCCGCGUGCAGGAAGAAGGCGCUACGCGUUGUAAACUGCUUUUAUCCGGGAAGAAACCCCUCGACGUGUCGAGGGUUGACGGUACCGGAGGAAUAAGCACCGGCUAACUUCGUGCCAGCAGCCGCGGUAAUACGAAGGGUGCAAGCGUUAUCCGGAUUCAUUGGGUUUAAAGGGUGCGUAGGCGGAGCGCUAAGUCAGUGGUGAAAUCCUGCAGCUUAACUGUAGACUUGCCAUUGAUACUGGCGUUCUUGAGUGCGCCUGAAGUAGGCGGAAUGUGCCGUGUAGCGGUGAAAUGCUUAGAUAUGGCACAGAACACCAAUUGCGAAGGCAGCUUACUAAGGCGAUACUGACGCUGAGGCACGAAAGCGUGGGGAGCGAACAGGAUUAGAUACCCUGGUAGUCCACGCCGU